GCUAUGACGUCAACCAUCACGCGAACCAUUCCCGUUUGACGUCGCCAUUGCUGAAUUGGAUCAAGAGAAUACUGGCUACUGGAAGAAGUCACUAAGCAACAGAUUCAGGAAGUGUCAUGAACGUGAUAAUCCAUUAGGACAAAUGGAAAGGGGGGGGGGGGGAAGGACGACACCCAAACCAGACAAAGCUGCAGGCAAACACAUGUAUGGCAUAAAGAAAGUACCUUCCUGCAUCCCCAGAAGGUGAGGAUGAAGAAAUGAUCAAUGCACACAUCAAGAUGCUUCAGAAUGAAUCCAGAAAAACAAGACAGGACAGCAUGAUGAUAGACAAUCUAAUGUCACUAACUUUAGCCAAUAGGCGCAAGGGUAUCAUCAACAGCAACUGGACUGAAUCCUACUUGAAGGAUAUGUACCCUUACCUUUUCCAUGAAGAUGAGAGUUUGAGAGACUGUCAGAGGACCCAAUUAAGCAGAAGUUGGAAGCAGGACAUUUGAAUAUGCUGAUCCAUUACUAGAGAUAUGUAAGACUCCCAAGCAAGGUUUGGAGCUCAAAAACCUGAUCUUGGCUGCAGCAGCAGAAAAUGAGGACACCAGGAAAAUGAUCAAAUCAUGUGGAGCACUUCUGUUGAUUCCUACUAUUUUGGAAGAGAAGGCAUUGCUUUGUCAGCAUAGCCAGG
Molecule: long non-coding RNA, 676 nt
Filed under: Lytechinus variegatus (green sea urchin)
Lineage: Eukaryota; Metazoa; Echinodermata; Echinoidea; Temnopleuroida; Toxopneustidae
Description: uncharacterized LOC121415327, transcript variant X1
Source: RNAcentral